CAUGUUAACCUAGGAAGGCUGUUUCUAGUACCUGAGCUUGAUCACAGAGAGUUCUCAGCUCUUUCUCUGCACUGAACUACUGUGCCUCAGCCAUGACUCCACGCCAAUCUCUGCAGCAUCUUUCAGGACAGCCCAAAGGUUGGCUUCAUCUUCCCUCAAAAAAUCUUCUGAGACUUCACUUCAAAGACUCAGGUUCUCUGCUUUCAUGCCAUGGUUUCUGAUUUUGCUCAGGAAUUUCCAAGCUUCUAUAAGGCCAGCAGUGAGUGAGUAAACUCCAUUUAAAACUGAUUCUCUUGAUGAGUGGGAAUGAAGAGCAAUGUGGUGAUGUCCUUUUUUUGGGUGAGUUUAAACAAGGGCUGUGAAAAUGAGGGCUUUGAUAUAUGUGCUGAUGCAAACAACUGUGCUUCUUGAAGGAAUGCUGUCCCACCAAAUGCCAACACAGAGAAUUUCACCCCAUCCUGCUAUGUUCGCAGACUGAUACUGGUGUCUUAUUAGUGAGCAUGAACAAUUCUAGGCUUUGGAUUAAGUUGAGCAGGCAGUGAGUAUGAGACUGGGCACUGUAUUAUUAUUUUUUUAACUUACCUUGGAGUAAAGAUCUCGUAAAUGCAGUAAGACACAUGUCAGUAAUGCCUUUGGUCUUAAUUCGAAGCAAAUGCCAUGUUCCUGAUGGGAACAGCAAGGGUUUCUCCCACAGCAAUCAAGUUAGGUUUGAGAUGGAAGGCACCAGGACACAGAAAACAAGAUGCCCUCAUCCCCAUACUCCUGUUGGCCUGAAGUGUCAGGCUUGGCAUGUGGCAGGGGUGACUCCAUGUUGUGAAAAGCAGUCAAAUAACUUACUUCCCAAAGUCAGGGAGAGCAGGGUAGAAAACUGACUUGCUGAGUCGCAAUCUGCUUUUGGCAGAAAAGAGAUACACAGCACCCCUUGCUCUGAGCAGAUUGUGCAGUUACCUUUUAGCCCCUUGCUAGUUGUAGACAGAGUUUAUUCUGUUCACACUGCAAUAUGUGGACAUUAGCUCAUGACUUCCUUUAGUGUUAAAUCCAGAAGUUUAAAAAUAGGAGGAAGAUGCAAGGAUUUCAUCAAUAUAUUAUUAUCCAUUAAUUAUAUGAAUUGUAUCCAUUAUAUAAUACAAAAUGAGAAGAUACUGUAAUAUAUAUGUCUCUGCACAGUCCUGGGAACUUGCAUUUGCAUGUUUUCCAGAGGAGGUGUCCUGACUUUCAGGAUGAAUAUUAGUCUUUAAUGCUUAAUUUUCACUCCAGGUUUAACACAGAUGUAGUGGAAUGGAGGGAAAAUACAUAAUCAGACUUGCACCAAAGCUGUUGUCUUAACAUAGAUGGUCCUGAAGCUUGUUUAUAUUAAAUUUGAUUCUAUUCCUACUUGAACUGCUUUAUUGUUCUAAUUGCUCACCUUUAUUUAUUUAUAUAUAAGCUUCUCUCUUGGUUUACCUGUAAGUUACCCAGUAAUUUAUUUUCAACAUAGUAUUAUUUUUGCAUUACGCAUUGGACCUAAUGUUGGUUGAUAAUGUUCUGCUUAAGCCUUUGGAAGGAAGCUGAUUCACAACAGCUGCAGGGUUUCUUGGUGACAUUUGUUUUUUUUAUGACCAUGCACAAGGAGAAGUGGCAAUGGUGCACUUGGACUUCAUCAGCUUCUGGCCAAUGGUCCUUUUCAGGCUGUGAUAGUGGACCAAGUAUUUUGGAAAUAACAGUGUAUCAGCUGAAAGGAGAAAUAGUUUUUUCUUUGCUUUGUUUUACAUUAACACCUCUCUACUGUUAAAUAGCUACAGUAUUGGUUCAGAACUGAAGAAAAGCUCUGCUAUUUUUAAAUUGAUAUUGCUCUUUUUGAGGAGGAAAGGAACUUCAAUUUUACAAAACUUUCAAUUUCCUUUCUCUUUCUUAUUGCACUACAAUGUAUAUUCAGUAUAUAUUGAAUCACAACUGUAAGAGGAAGAAGAGAGAGGAUGGCCACAAACGCCUCUGGUAGCUGGGUAAAAGGACUUCAGGGGUGAGAAGAAUGAAGGCUGUUGGGCAAGGAGUGGAGUUGUCACCCCUGGAGGUUUUCAAGAAACAUGUAAAUGUGGCACUGAGUGACACUGUUAGUGAGCAUGGUGGGGAUGGGUUGGAUUUGGAUCUUAGUGGUCUUUUCCAACCUUAAUGAUGCUAUGACUCUAUGACCUUCUUAGAGCAAAGAGGAGUUUAUGAACACAGAACACGGUGUUUUGCCUGCAAUUGAUGUGUUACAGACUUGAUUUUGUUAUGGAGGUUGUCUAACCUUUGGGAUUAUCUUAAUUUCUUCAAAGAAAAGAAGAAAAGUUUCACGUGUGUUUGGCAAGCUAAUAGAACUGAUCAAGUGAUUGGGUUUGUGGUUUGAAUUUAGAGAUGGUCAAACUUUUGUUGUGAUUUGAUUUUUGCUAUAUUUUGUGACUUUGAAGCAGACCUUCUCCACUCUACCUCGGUAUCCCACCAGUACACACAAUGUUAACUUAGGAAAUCUCACAGGGUUUUAAAAUGUUUUGAAGAAGUCCACAUCCAUGUAGGCACUAGGUAUGAUCUUACAUUUCCUCAGCCGCCAGUUUGGAGAAUGUUGGGAACUGGGGUAAAAUACAGACACCUGUUUCACCCUCAAGGUCCUUGACAUAUAUGGAGCUCUAUAGAUAUGAAAAGCAAGCUCCUGUACCACAGCAGCUAACUCCUACACAUUCAGGAAUGAAAUGCAAGUCUCUGCUGGCAUCAAGGGCGCACUCCACCUGAAGAAGGGCUGAUCUCCCCCAUGUUCUGUGGGCCUCUCACCUGUGGCUUAGCCAGGAUCCAGUCUGGCCACAGGUUUCCUGUUGCUCAAGGCUGAUUUGUAAAAGCUGAUUUCUUUGGCCUCUGCAUUGUCAAGUGGGUGCUGGUUUUCCAUAUCCCAGAUCUCCACACCUCCAAAGCUCUCAUAUAUGCCUGGUGCUGCCCCUAAGCCUGGCCACGAGCUGAGCUGUAUACCCAGCUGCUUCUUCGAGCUCGUGAUAAUGAAUUUUCAUUGCAGUGGAAUUUAGAAAGGAAUUGCUCUGAUUCUAAAGCUCAUUGGUUGCUAAUAGUAAUAACAAUAAAAGAGCUGUUUCUUAAGGACUAAAAACUAAUCAGGGAAUGUGUAGUUUCUAUGUCUCCUGCAGGUUCUUGUCUUGUGGGGCUGCCAGACCGCCACAGCCACGUGACCGGCUGUCUGAUUUCUGACUCAAGCUUUUCAUUUCCUAAAUGAUAACGGAUAAAAGAUAAAAUCUGGCACACACAGACAUUUCCACUUAAAUACACAGUGCAUUCGUCUGAACUACAGAGAAUGUCUUCUGUUAUGGACAAGAUCAUUGUCUGAUGCAAACUGGAAGAGAACUAUGGAAUUUCAUUGGAGUUAUGGUGUGGAGCAGUCUUUGUUGGUGAUGGUGUAUGCAGUAUGUGACUGCACAGGAACUGACUCCUCAGGCUUUCUGAAGGAACUGGAAUUAAAUUAGACUCUUCUCAGCCAAACCAGUUCCUUCACCCAGUUCAAAAUACAACCAUGGCCACAUUACAGAAAAAGUUGUAUGGAUGUGGAGACAAACAGCAGAAGUCAGGAUGCCUCUCAUUAGCCAUCGGGGCUGCCAAAAGGUGAGAAGGUGACAAGAAUGAAAUGCACAAAAUGCAUGUGUAGGAGCAACUUUGUAGGUCAAGAAAGAGCUUCACUUUAUAAAAAUAUUAAUCCAGCACCUUUUAUUGAAACAUUCACUUGAAAUAUGUUUUUGUCAUGCUGGAAUUUCUUAAUGGCUGCAAUCAAGUUGUCUUUCAUCUGCAGGCAGUUGCUGACCUCAUUAAUGUAAAUGGACUUGCUAGCCACAUAUCAUUGGUGCUAUACAAACCAAAGGGUUUAGUUAUAAAGAAAGAUAGAGGAAAACAAUGAAAGUCUUUGCCAAUCAACUUGAAUCCAUGCAGGCCAAAUAAGGAAAUGAAAGGACAAGGGUGUUGAGCUGAUGCUGGCUGUGAGUGCAAUGGGAAGUAGGAGAAGCAGGGUGAAGCAGCCCUGGAAGGAAAUCAAGAGAGGAGAGAAGGACCUUUGGCCAAAAGCCU
Coturnix japonica (Japanese quail) is the source of this 4071-nucleotide non-coding RNA. NCBI's taxonomy places the organism in Eukaryota, Metazoa, Chordata, Aves, Galliformes, Phasianidae. The record is from RefSeq and is a predicted model, not a curated record.